AUUGAACGCUGGCGGCAUGCCUUACACAUGCAAGUCGAACGGCAGCACGGGAGCUUGCUCCUGGUGGCGAGUGGCGAACGGGUGAGUAAUACAUCGGAACGUACCCUGAAGUGGGGGAUAACGUAGCGAAAGUUACGCUAAUACCGCAUAUUCUGUGAGCAGGAAAGAGGGGGAUCGCAAGACCUCUUGCUUUAGGAGCGGCCGAUGUCGGAUUAGCUAGUUGGUGAGGUAAAGGCUCACCAAGGCGACGAUCCGUAGCGGGUCUGAGAGGAUGAUCCGCCACACUGGGACUGAGACACGGCCCAGACUCCUACGGGAAGCAGCAGUGGGGAAUUUUGGACAAUGGGCGCAAGCCUGAUCCAGCCAUGCCGCGUGAGUGAAGAAGGCCUUCGGUUGUAAGACUCUUCGUGGGAGAAU
Molecule: ribosomal RNA, 417 nt
Filed under: uncultured bacterium
Lineage: Bacteria
Description: bacterial SSU rRNA
Rfam family: Bacterial small subunit ribosomal RNA
Source: RNAcentral